UAGCUUGCUAGAUGAUGUCGAGUGGCGGACGGGUGAGUAAUGCUUGGGAACUUGCCUUUGCGAGGGGGAUAACAGUUGGAAACGACUGCUAAUACCGCAUAAUGUCUUCGGACCAAACGGGGCUUCGGCUCCGGCGCAAAGAGAGGCCCAAGUGAGAUUAGCUAGUUGGUGAGGUAAAGGCUCACCAAGGCAACGAUCUCUAGCUGUUCUGAGAGGAAGAUCAGCCACACUGGGACUGAGACACGGCCCAGACUCCUACGGGAGGCAGCAGUGGGGAAUAUUGCACAAUGGGGGAAACCCUGAUGCAGCCAUGCCGCGUGUGUGAAGAAGGCCUUCGGGUUGUAAAGCACUUUCAGUUGUGAGGAAAAGUUAGUAGUUAAUACCUGCUAGCCGUGACGUUAACAACAGAAGAAGCACCGGCUAACUCCGUGCCAGCAGCCGCGGUAAUACGGAGGGUGCGAGCGUUAAUCGGAAUUACUGGGCGUAAAGCGCACGCAGGCGGUUUGUUAAGCUAGAUGUGAAAGCCCCGGGCUCAACCUGGGACGGUCAUUUAGAACUGGCAGACUAGAGUCUUGGAGAGGGGAGUGGAAUUCCAGGUGUAGCGGUGAAAUGCGUAGAUAUCUGGAGGAACAUCAGUGGCGAAGGCGACUCCCUGGCCAAAGACUGACGCUCAUGUGCGAAAGUGUGGGUAGCGAACAGGAUUAGAUACCCUGGUAGUCCACACCGUAAACGCUGUCUACUAGCUGUUUGUGACUUUAAGUCGUGAGUAGCGAAGCUAACGCGAUAAGUAGACCGCCUGGGGAGUACGGCCGCAAGGUUAAAACUCAAAUGAAUUGACGGGGGCCCGCACAAGCGGUGGAGCAUGUGGUUUAAUUCGAUGCAACGCGAAGAACCUUACCUACACUUGACAUGUUGAGAAGUACCAGAGAUGGUUUCGUGCCUUCGG
This 946-nucleotide ribosomal RNA is filed under the name Alteromonas sp. Its description in RNAcentral is "bacterial SSU rRNA". It matches the Rfam family "Bacterial small subunit ribosomal RNA", at positions 76 to 1023 of the family's 1533-position model. Lineage: Bacteria; Pseudomonadati; Pseudomonadota; Gammaproteobacteria; Alteromonadales; Alteromonadaceae. The record is from RNAcentral.